GGAGAUAUUGAUCAGCUAGAGAAUGUACAUCUCUGAACUGGGGAUUGACAUGGGUUCCAAUGAGCAUCCUGAACAGCCACCAACACUUCAAGCUCCAUUAGAUUCAUUAGUCAGAAGACCUAUUGGCAGAAUAGCUUGUGUUGUGCCCUGAGUCAGCUUCUGCUUUGGACUCCACUCAAAGGAAAAGCAACCUUAUGCAUUCCUCAGCAACAGGGUCAGAGGAGGACAUCCAUAUGUGUUGUUAAACCAACUUCUCGGGAAGAUCAGGGAAGAUUUCAGAGAAAUGGUGGAAUUUUAAUAGAGCCUGG
This is a long non-coding RNA of Balaenoptera musculus (blue whale), 308 nucleotides long. RefSeq lists it as uncharacterized. The transcript has 3 exons. NCBI's taxonomy places the organism in Eukaryota, Metazoa, Chordata, Mammalia, Artiodactyla, Balaenopteridae. The record is from RefSeq and is a predicted model, not a curated record.